AGAGAGCGGGCAUCUGCUGACAGCGGGGCCUCUCAGGAGGCCCACACGCGUCCCAUUAGUCAGCUCGAGUUCCCCUCGGGCGAGCCGUCUGGCACGGCCUCGAGGCCCGGUU
This 112-nucleotide microRNA precursor is filed under the name Cricetulus griseus (Chinese hamster). Its description in RNAcentral is "miRNA (ENSCGRG00001008066.1)". Lineage: Eukaryota; Metazoa; Chordata; Mammalia; Rodentia; Cricetidae. The record is from RNAcentral.